Xenia sp. Carnegie-2017 is the source of this 680-nucleotide long non-coding RNA. RefSeq lists it as uncharacterized. The transcript is spliced from 4 exons. The record is from RefSeq and is a predicted model, not a curated record. NCBI's taxonomy places the organism in Eukaryota, Metazoa, Cnidaria, Anthozoa, Malacalcyonacea, Xeniidae.
AAAAAUGUUGUUGAUAAAUUCCUCUUGAGUCUAAGAGCAUCAUCAACAAAGAGACUCCAUCUUACAACACAUUGCUUCUUGUCGGAGCAGAUAUUGUAUUUGAAUUAAGCUACCAUCAAUUUAAAUAUGUUGCGACAGCUGCUAUUCCUGUUUUCCCUCUAUCUCUUGUCAGCAACGAAGAUCGCCUCAGCUCUAUCAGAUGAUGAUGAAUAUGACGAUAGAGUGAUUGCUCUUAUCAUUACUUCUUCCGCGAUGCUGGCAGUGUGUAUUUUAUUAAUCGGUAUCACGUGCCAUUUAGCAAAAAAAUUGCGAACCAAAUGGAAUCCUUAGUCCAUUUUGUAUGAGUUCAAACAGGAAAAUAUAUGUAUAUAGCAUAUUGUAAAAUUUCCUCACAUAACGCUUGUGACAAAAAUAUUUAAGUAGUAGAAUAAGACAAAAAUUAGCUCCAAGAUGUGCAUGAAAUGACGGCAUUUUAUUUCACUAUGAAAUAGAUUUGAAAUAGGGGUUGUAUAGGAUGUAUCAAAUUCAUUCAUUUAAUAACGCAAUAAUAACUUUUUUUCACAAAUAUUUAAAUAAAAUAUUAAUCAAAAUGCAAGUAUUUACUAGAAAAAACGUACACUUUUAUAAGCACAUUUUAAUAAUGAUGUGCAAAAUAAAAACUUGUUACCAUUUACCAUUUA